UACGAAGGGGGCUAGCGUUGCUCGGAAUCACUGGGCGUAAAGCGCACGUAGGCGGCUUUCUAAGUCAGGGGUGAAAUCCUGGAGCUCAACUCCAGAACUGCCUUUGAUACUGGAGAGCUAGAGUCCGGAAGAGGUGAGUGGAACUGCGAGUGUAGAGGUGAAAUUCGUAGAUAUUCGCAAGAACACCAGUGGCGAAGGCGGACUCACUGGUCCGGUACUGACGCUGAGGUGCGAAAGCGUGGGGAGCAACAGG
RNAcentral lists this ribosomal RNA (253 nucleotides) under uncultured bacterium. RNAcentral's name for it is "partial 16S ribosomal RNA". It matches the Rfam family "Bacterial small subunit ribosomal RNA", at positions 524 to 775 of the family's 1533-position model. The record is from RNAcentral.